Molecule: ribosomal RNA, 465 nt
Filed under: uncultured bacterium
Lineage: Bacteria
Description: partial 16S ribosomal RNA
Rfam family: Bacterial small subunit ribosomal RNA
Source: RNAcentral
CCUACGGGUGGCAGCAGUGGGGAAUAUUGCGCAAUGGGCGAAAGCCUGACGCAGCGACGCCGCGUGAGGGAUGAAGGUCUUCGGAUCGUAAACCUCUGUCAGCAGGGAAGAACGGUCACUGUGCUAAUCAGCAGUGAAUUGACGGUACCUGCAAAGGAAGCACCGGCUAACUCCGUGCCAGCAGCCGCGGUAAUACGGAGGGUGCGAGCGUUAAUCGGAAUUACUGGGCGUAAAGCGCUCGUAGGCGGUAUGUCAAGUCAAGGGGGAAAUCCCCGCGCUCAACGUGGGAACUGCCUUUGAAACUGGCAAACUGGAGUGUGUGAGAGGAUAGUGGAAGUCGAGGUGUAGGAGUGAAAUCCGGAGAUAUCUGGAGGAACAUCAGUGGCGAAGGCGACUAUCUGGCACAUAACUGACGCUGAGGAGCGAAAGCGUGGGUAGCAAACAGGAUUAGAUACCCGGGUAGUC